UAGAUUUGGACCGUUUGGUGAUAAGCAAACACAGCAAACUGUUGGCCAAACUGCAUGGUCAGUGGGGCAAAAUAAUGAUUCUCCCCUUUAUUGGCUUUUAUUGAAUAGGAUUUAGGAGGUGGUUACAGGCUGAGUAUCAGAAAAUUGACUGAAGACAACUCCCUUGAUUGUUGUUGACUCUCCUUUGAGGAGGAGGGAUGCUGUUCCUCAACCAAUUUUGCAGUCAGCCUCAGAGCCAACCUUAAAAGAAUUCCCACUGACAAAAAUUGACAAAAGGAGGAUGAUGGCUGUGGAUGCUUAAAAUACAAUGGAGGACACCUGGGUGGCUCACUCAGGUGACUUACAAAGCAAUUGGCAAAUGAUUGAGACCAUUCCAUGGGCCCUGUAUGCCUGAAGACACCACCUGUGUGGUCAGCUUCACUUCAGACUGCUCAGGCUUCACUAGAAUAAUAGAUGCAUACAUCCAACAUUUGAUUGUCGGUCAAAUUUUGUCACCAAAUGAUAAUAACCUUCAUGAUAUUUUGUAAUUACAGUCUCAUUGAAUGGCAUCUGAGGAUUCUGAAGAUCUUUGGGAAAAAAUCUCCAAUGGGAGAGGGUAACACUGAGAAUAAUAACGAAGGCCAAACAUCAACAGAUUUGUUUCUUCUGCUGGACCUCCAAUGGGAGGGUGAGAUUUACUAAUGGAUCUUGAAGAAAUAACUCCAUCACAAAGCUUAGUUCUGAAUUGCCAAGAGCACACUCAUUUUCCUGGAGGAUCAUCUCCUUUUGCAUACACUGAUUCAUUUUGACUGAGAGCAGAAGUCUGCAAGAAUCUGCACUAAGCCCAACAUUCGAGUCCUUCCCCAUUAAACAUGAAGGGGAAAUUGAGAAAGAGCACUGGACUAGGAUGCAGGAGGCAGGCAAACUGGCUUCUUGGUCUAUUGCUAACCACGUGUAUGUGAUGGCUAAGUCUGAGCAAGUCAUAAAGUCAGGGUUUCCAUUUCCUCCCUUACAGGGUGAGAGAGCUGGACUAAUUAUCUCUAAUCUUUUUUCCAGCUUUAAUACUCCCUGAGUCUAAAUGAUAUUGAUGAUCAAUGAAACAAUUUAUUUUCCUGAGGCUGUCAAUUAUUUAUUAUAUUUGGAUCACUAAGAAGGAAACAGGAAAAGGCA
This is a long non-coding RNA of Neofelis nebulosa (Clouded leopard), 1149 nucleotides long. RefSeq lists it as uncharacterized. The record is from RefSeq and is a predicted model, not a curated record. The transcript is spliced from 3 exons. NCBI's taxonomy places the organism in Eukaryota, Metazoa, Chordata, Mammalia, Carnivora, Felidae.